Non-coding RNA from Lolium perenne, 4538 nucleotides. The record is from RefSeq and is a predicted model, not a curated record. Lineage: Eukaryota; Viridiplantae; Streptophyta; Magnoliopsida; Poales; Poaceae.
UGCUCUCUCCCAUCCUCCAUGGACAUCUCAUUCUCCACCUGCGUGAGCCCUCUCAAUCUCCGCCACCGCGUAAUCCCGGAUAAUUAGAGAGGGCGCCGCCUUGCGCACGUCCAAUACAUGGCCUGGGCGGUUGCUAGAUGUGGACGCGAAGGCGUCGGAGUGGCGCUGGUGCUUGCGGAGGAGGCGCGCGGACGAGGUUACCUUCCGGCGGCAACGUCAUGGCGGACGGAAUCGUUACCAGAGGCGGCGGUGGUAUUCUUCUAAGCCGCUUGUGCUCUCGCUCCCCCCUCCCCCGCGCUCCUUGGGCGCAAGCCCUAGCCUCCUCUACGUCAGUUCUUGCGGCCAUUGCCCCGGGCAUCGCGGUUCGACCUGAGGAGCAGUGAAUCCAGGCUGCGAUUGGCAAAGAGUACCGGGACGGAGGUGCUCGAGGAGUAGGACGGCGAGCGAUGCCCCGCGCGCGCUAGAGUCCAGCCGCAUCGUCCGAGCCCAGCCACGCUCGCGGGGACAAUCACGCGAUGGAGAAUUUUUCCGAAUGGGCGAUAAGAUGAUUUCAGUUGCAUCUUGCUGUACCAAAUCUGUGUGGUCUGGUCUUCAAGUAGAGGUCUCCUGGAGAGUGGCAAUAGAGACCGUGGCCUCUCAUGGUUUCGUUUCUCUUCACCAUGCCCGCCAUAUUCUUCCGCACUUGGUUGAUUCCACCUCCUGUGUCUAACUCGAGGUGACCAGCUCUGUCCUAUCACACUGAUGCUCCGCCGGCGUGUAGAGCUGGCCGGCUCGGCCGCGCUCUGCAUUUGUGCCUCAUCUGGUCGAUUUCGCCUCUCGCGCAGCUGUUAGAUUAAUUGGUUUGGUUCAGUGGUUGCCUCUGCCCUGCGGCUGUUGCCGCACUUCAUCUGGACGGUCCAAUGUCUGUUCGUCGUUCUUGCCGCCUUGACAAUCAUUUUCUUUGCAUCGGGUUGCUUCCUUGCCCGUCCUUUUCUUUGCAUCAGGUUGCUUCCUUGCCUGUCGUUUGCAUCAGGUUGAACCAUUGAGGUGUUUUUUGGCAGCCCACUCUGUUUUGAUUGUCGACAUCACUGUCUGUUAAUGCUCCGCAUCAGCCAGCAGGUACUGCUUUCAGUUUAUAAACAAUUACUUAUCAUGUUUUUGUAACAUAAUGAUGGUAAACACUAAACAAUACGUUGGAAAUUCUUGAUCGACACUUUGCCUGCUGAUUAUAAAAAUAACAUUCCUAAUAUUAAUGGAAAAGGCCGAUUAGAAAAUUACAAUAAGAUAAUACAGGCUUUAACAAAAUCAGGACAGUUGUUUCUAUGCAAAAUUCAAUCCCUUUCCCAAUUAAUUAUUUACUUUUAUUUUCCCCGUAGCAGUUUUAAUAUGUGCAUGCAAUUUCAGUGUGCAGAUAGUUUGUAUGUUUUUUAUCCACCAAUGUGUCAAGUUGUUAAGGAAACCUUCCUCUGGUUUUCUGUAGAUUCUUUUAAAUGAAAAUGCUGACUCUAUUGACAUACAAACAUGUACAUUAGAUCAAACAUGAACACAUUUAAUUCCUUUCCUAAUAUACAAAUAUGCAAAAAAGAUCAACAGGAGGUGCAGUAGAUGUUCUUUUAUUCAGUUAGUUUUUUUUUAAAAUAAGGAAUUGAGAGAAAUGGGUUUUUGCAGAUGGUCCAUUUGUUUCAGUUUGUGAGUUGUUCCUACAUUGUGUAACCGAGAUUCAUGGCUCACAAUUUAUAUAUGAAAGAAGCAUCCAUGUGAUAUGAAUGCCAUACAAGGUCAUGUGUGUCAUGACUCAAAUGACAAAAUAACAGGUGUACUGAACAACUUUAGGCCGCAACUGUGGUUUUUUCCCAGUACAUCAUAGAGGUGCCCUUGCAAGAGUAAAAGAAAAUUCUACUGGCUUUUCCCAUGUCCCUUGGUUAGCUAUAAGAAACAAAUUUUGAUUUAUACUUCCUAAAUUGAACAUAUGUACUAUUUUCUCCAAUUACUUUUGGCCCAAUUCUACCAUACCCAAGGAAAGCAUGUUGUCAUUUUCAGUGAGAAGCUAAUUUAACUACUGUUAAGUGUCUUAUAAUGCUAAAGGAACACAUAAUGCCUCAGAAUCUGAUCUCCUAGCAUUUGUUCAACUUGUGUUGUUAUUUUUAUUGUUUACCUGAGCUAACCAUGUUCCACAAAAAUGCAUUAGUAAAGUUAAAAAAGUGCACCUGCCUACACUAAAUUUCUUAGAGAACUGUGUUCUCUCAAGUGUUCUAAGGCGAGCAACACAUGCAUUAAAGAUGAACCAUUUGGACUGCAACUAAACAUGUUUCUAUGGUUCAGCCCAUUCAUUUUUCUUCUUGAUUGAUUUUCUUAGUUAACUAAUUUGUACAGUUUCGAGGUGUUACAACACGUCAGGAAAUGCUGAUGUCGGUGCCUAAUGCCUCGGCAUAGAAUUUGGCAUUUCCUAGCUUAUUUUAGCCGUUUCAUUUUUUUGGAUUUUUUGUAAGAUGUUUACUACUCUUGCUUUAACAGUAUGCAAUCAGUAUCAAUCCAAUGGCAUGUGAGCUAUCAUUUUGUUCUUUAUGGUUCUUUGUGCUUGACAAUAUGUACUUUCUGAUAAAGUAAUAAUAAUGCAAGUGAAUUGAUGCAUUAAUAAUAAUGCAAGUGAAUUGAUGCAUUUUUGAGCAUUUGCAGUUUGGCCAUUUAUAUUUUCAUGAAGAAACAUUCAUUAUUUUUAGUGCAUAUUUUGUUGCCGUUUUUCCCCACCAAGGGAUGUGUGGAAAUAAUAUUGUUUCCACAUGGAGGAAUCAUUUCGUAAUCUUGAGGUAUUGUUCUUAACUGGACUUUAUAUUUGCUAAGCCUUCUGCUCAGAUUAUUUGCAUUUCCACUAUGUUGGAUUUAAUCUGUGUCUUCCAAUACGCGCCUUUCUAUACUAAAAAAUCAUACUUGCGAACAAGUGAAAAGUGCAAACAUGGGGAUUUCAUCGAUCAAGGAUGUGUCGGGCCCAAGCUACCAGUGCAAAGCCCUUUUGCUCAUUGCAUGCAUCUAGGAAUAAAAGGAUCAAGAAACACAUCAAAAUUUAUAUGAGUUGGACUUCACUUUGCUGGCCGUGAGGUAUUCCUACACAAAUCCAAACAUUUGAUUUACUUGAUCUCAUUUACCAAUGAGUUCAUAACGCUGCCUCAACUUAUUUACUCCUCUCUCUACAUAAAUUGCUUGAAUUAUCAGAAACAAUGGGUGGCCCAUCCUUUGCCUGCAAAUACACUGUAAUCCAGAUUUGAUGGACCACAACUUCGUCCAUGUUAUCCUCUGAUUUAUAUCACUAUAAUUUCAGGUUUGACAACAUUAUCAUAGAAAAAUUAAAGCAAAUAAUUUCUGCACCACAAAGAUAAUGCAAGAUAUUGAUUUACCGAAGCUUAUGUUUCCCCCAGUCCACACGAUUCAGAUCUAGCAUUAACCAAUAUAGUCAAGGUAUUUUCAUUUUCAUAUGUUUAUGCUUAAUGAUCAGCACCCAUUAAAAAAUAAAAUUCGUUUUCAUAUGUUUAUGCUUAAUGAUCAGCACCCAUUAAAAAAUAAAAUUCUACUGCUAUUCUACAACUCUUUGCUAGCAAGCUCAAUUGUGAAAGUCAGGCUGCUAAAUUUCAUCCGAGACAUGGAAUACCUCCCAAGGAUAUUCGCCGGAAUAGAGGAGGUGAAGCAGAGAAAAGGUAGGCAAGAAAGAAGGAUAAUUUAGUAGAUAAUUAUCCCCAACUAAAUUUGGUCAUCCUCAAGCAAGCUAGGUAAAUCUAUGUCCAAGGGCACAAAUAAUUGAUUCUCUGAACUAAAAUCGACACUUAUUUUUUUCUGGUGUCAUGAUUUUAUUUCAAAAAGGGGAAACAUAAAAUUAGAAGGGGAAAGAAAAGAACCUCAAAUUUAUGCUAUAUGGAUGAAGCUAAGAACUCAUGUAGCUACCGUUGUUCUCUAUAGUAACAUUUUCCUUACAUAUGUGUUGAAGAAUGAAUAGUUCAGAAAUGAAGUAGAACAUACUAUUUUGAGAUCAACCAAGAGGAAGUUGUAGCUUUAGUUUCAGCUAUAGUAGUGGGGGUGUAUGAUCUGAGCUUAUUACAUGCUAAUUAACAAUUUUUCUUCCAUACUAAUAUCUGAAAAUAUAAUAAGCGUGCUCUGAAUUUAGAACUGAUGUGGUGCUCCUGUAUAGUGAAAUGCUUGCAUAUAUGGUGUUGGUUUUGGUGUUUUGAAUCUGGGCUUUGUAGGUUCAGUCGUCCCCGUGGCAGUUGUGGUCGACGGACCACGAUGAAGGCGACAACGUCUUCCCGGCCGCGGUGAAUGGGCAUGGUUUUGUCCUCCUUGGUGCCUGUCAUAAGUCGAGUUCUCUAUCCUGGCGACGAGGAGGGGCGCCCGAGCUGCGGAUGGCCAGGAGCAGUGUGUUGCUAGAUAGUUCCGUUAUGUAUAGCCAGAGGACCACGAAAGAUACAUAAGAUUGCACACUAGAAGGUAUAAUCACCCCUUCUAUAUUUAUUACUUAUGCUAAUUUAUUCAGUAGAGAUUUUGACCAGAUAUAAAGUACCUGCCAGCAACAU